GCGCAGCAGUCGAGAAACCUCCGCAAUACACGAAAGUGUGACGGGGCCAUCCCGAGUGCCGUCCGCUGAGGACGGCUUUUCCCCAGUGUACACAGCUGGGGGAAUAAGGAGAGGGCAAGCCUGGUGUCAGCCGCCGCGGUAAUACCAGCUCUCCGAGUGGUGGGGACGCUUAUUGGGCCUAAAGCAUCCGUAGCCGGCUGGGCAAGUCCUCCGUUAAAUCCAACGAUUCAAUCGUUGGCUGGCGGGGAUACUGUCCAGCGUUGGGGGCGGGAGAGGCCGACGGUACGUUCCCGGGGUAGGGGUGAAAUCCUAUAACGUCCCGGGAGGACCACC
This 333-nucleotide ribosomal RNA is filed under the name uncultured microorganism. RNAcentral describes it as "bacterial SSU rRNA". It matches the Rfam family "Archaeal small subunit ribosomal RNA", at positions 330 to 661 of the family's 1478-position model. The record is from RNAcentral.